Molecule: long non-coding RNA, 4042 nt
Organism: Herpailurus yagouaroundi (jaguarundi)
Lineage: Eukaryota; Metazoa; Chordata; Mammalia; Carnivora; Felidae
Exons: 2
Source: RefSeq, a predicted model, not a curated record
CAUAAAAAAUUUUUAAAAAACCUGCAGCCCCUGACUGUGCCCAGGGAAGCAUGGAUUUCUCCACGUGCCUUGGCAACAACGUUCCCAUUGUUUUCAGCUCCCCCCAAAAGGGACACGCGCCCACGUGUUUUUAUAUGAGCAACGAGGCUUUGAGUCAUGAUUUCUAAACAGGCCGAGCACCGUCCUCAAAGCCCCUGCCAGCGGGUACCGCGAGCUUCCUUCCCACGCACCUGUCGCCAGCGCCCCCGCCCCCGAGGCCUGCAGAGCACUCCGUCCGUCUGUCCGUCCCUCCUUACGCCUUCAUCAGCAGGUUUCUGCAACUGGAAAUUAGCUUUGCCUCUCAAGCCCAAACAGCGUAAAGCCCGAGCCUCUCAGAAAAGACGAGGAGGAGGCUGCUGCUGUCCCCCAGACGCUCUUGGACAAGCCUCAAAACUCAGCCCCCCAAGAUCGCCUUCCUUUCCACCCCACGCGUGACACUAUCAGAGGGGCGAUCCUCCUCCCGUCCUCAGAAGCCGUCAUGCCGAGCCAUGAGGAUACAGGGUGAGGAUCGCUCCGGAGGACCCGGGCCCCGUUCCCUCCCACCUCGGAGUCUAGGAUGCCCUCGCCCCGGGUCAACAAAGGCAGUGCUGUUUGCUCAGGGGCGGGAGCAGCCUGGGAAGUUAAUCCAGCAGCUGGGACCUUAAAAGUAUCAUUUUCUCUCGUAUCGGAUGCUCUUUCAGCCGAAAGUAAUCCAUCUCUCCUCGAAGUGACAGGUGGCCAGAGCAGUCUCUUUCAGCAAGCCCACACAGGGCACAAGGAGCCCCCCGCACAGAAGGAAGGAAUCAGUCAAAUGCAACAGUUGGGACCUAAUUCCUUAGCAGCCAGACGGGAAUCAGAAAGGGAGGCUCAGGAAUUUUGAACACUCUCUUUCACGGCUUCCAGAAAACGUUAUCGCCGGUCACGUCUAUUGCUUUCGCUUGCGGGUGACAGAAAGCCCAAAAUAAACUCGCGAAGACGAAAGACAGAAAAGUCACCGCCACAGAACUGAAGAACGUGAGCGUCAGGCAUGGGCUGAUCCAGGGGUCAAACGACAUCACCACGGACAGGGACCUCUCUCGCUGUCUGGGUUCCGCCCCCUCUGUCUUGAUGCCUUUCUUACUUGGCUUCUUCCCUCGUGGCUGCAACAUGAGCGCCCGAAGCUUCCGGGCCUGUGUCUAGGUUUGAGUCCAGUGGGCGGGGGGACGGGGGGCAUCUCUGUCCUACAUCACAGCAGAGCUGUGAUGGCUUCUCCAACCAGACUCGCUUCGUCGGGAGACGGCCGCGAGCCAACCUUCCACUCCUGGAGAAGGCAGCGCGGCGGCUGGCUCAAGCCCGGGCCGUAUGCCCCCACCCGGUGCGUGGAAGGGACCAACAGAGGGACGGUUCACAAAUGCACCCACAGCUGUGGCCCGGGACCCAGGAAGCAGCAGGUGCAGGAGAGGAAACAGCCUCCAUCCUUUCUGAGCCGCGCUGUUUAACGAGCUCGGGCUGGGUGCACGGCUGUCCACGUGCCACAUCGCCUUUACCCUGUCACCACCACCGCCCUAUCGUACAGAUCCCCAAACUGAGCGCGGGCACAGCCCCAAAUCCUGGCCCACGCCGCACAGCUCGCGUGUGGCGAAGGCGGGAUCCGAAGCCGGGGCUCCAAGCCCGGGUCUCUCGGGGCUCCUGGAGACCCACCGCGGACACCCUCAGACGCCCCCCGUGGGACCCGCCACAGGGUCCGCCGUGCCCACCGCGUACUCCAGCCAUCACCGUUAUGCGGCAAUGCAUUUUUGACUUUCGGUUAAUGAGUUUCGUCUGGGUUUCCCGUCACUCGAAAUGGAACGUGACCUAUCGGAUUCGGCAGUGGCUGCACCGAAUCGCCGGGAACGGAGCCCCCCCCCCCCCCCCCCACAAAGAGCGAGCAGUCCUUCCUGGUAUCGCCACCCCUCCAGCUCUGGACACUUCAGCAGGGUCAAACUCAUCUUAAGAAGUGAGCAUUUAUUUUCCAAGGAAACCAGGCCCACCCCAACCCCGGGGCCUUCCCGCCGGUCACAGCACAGACUUUCCCCUCGCCUUCCUUCCUGUGCGGAGCCAGGAAGCUUCUUAUCUUAUCUGAACCAGAUGUGGCCCCUGCAGGAGCCGUUUUCGGACAGAAGUUUUCGAGGAACCCCCGACCUAGGGCCCCCGCGUAUCCAGGAGCUUCAAAGCACACCCAGGUGGCCGCGGGGAGCCAGGGAGAUCAAUACGGGAGCAAAGAGAUAAGCUUGCCGAUGCCUGGAGCCCCCAUUCAUCUCUGGCAACAUGGUUUAAACACCGUGCAACUGGGACCCAUCGGAGGAAAUACAUUGUAUCCACAUCUGGAGGGGAGGAAACAGCACAUAACUACCGCUGCCUGGAAGGUUUUGUUUGGUGUUAACGCUGGUCGUGAUCUGCUCAGAGCUCACGCAGGUGGGAAAACGCUUGUUUGGGAUAUUAAUUUGCACCGCUCUGUUCUGUCUCUUGCCCUUUCCAUUUCAAGUCCAUCACCCGGUUUUCUGCAGCUCCUUGCCUCGGGGAUUCUUUUGAAGGGCAGAAUGCAGACGUUGCCUGAUGUCACAGGAUAUUCCAGACUUUGUUAGAAACCUAAACUGUUUGAUGAGGUUAGGCUUGAUGUCCCCAGGGGGACAGGAAGAAAGGGCCUCAGAGGGUGACAGGAGGUUAGAAGCCAAUUUCUGCAGGGCUGGAAAUAGGGGAAGAGUCAUAGGUCCGGGAGCCGCACCCCAUUUGCUGGCCAUGUCCCGGGAAGGGGGCAGGACCCCAGGGUGGGGGCGGCUGCAGGGCAUCUCUGCAGGCUGAACCCUACAGGCUCCCAGCUGAGGCAGAGAACAGAAAGCCUGUGGACCCCUUCCACCCUCGAAACAGUCAAGGAGCUGGGGGUGAGGGUGAGGUGCCGUCAACAAGGAGGCCGCUUUCCCGCCAUCUUGGUGGCGAGCACCUCUGGUGGGACUUAAGUCAUUUUAGAACAGAACUAAAGGGCGCCCCUGGGUGGCUGGGUCCAGUGCAGUGGCCACGUCCAGUAUUUUUAAAGUCUAGAAUGUUCCUCGGGUUCUGUCUUGGCCCUUCUGCCUCGUCCUCUGCCACCUGUGAACCCUCCAGUGCAGGUAACUGCCACCCCUACGUCUUACGUACGGUAACGAGGAGAGAACGUUGUCCUAACGGAAAACAAACAAUUCAGGUAAAGGCCUCUGUUUCAGCCCUCAUCACGUGGCACAGCCCACACCGUACGUGUCUCCCUCGGCCGCUAAAACCUACAGGCAGCACGGGUGGAAAGCGGGGCCACGUUAUGAAAGAGGGUCCUUGGCGGGCACCCCUUCCUUGCCGGACACGGGACAUCGGCACAGAACAUCUCCCACGUCCUGUGAGACGCUGUGGCCUGGCACUGGUGGGUUUUGGAAGGCAUUAUUUACCGCUCUCCUUGUUCCCAGACGGCAUGAGGAGACACUUCUCCCACGUCUCCACGUGUUGUCUGAAGACAGUCGUGAUCGCUGGGUGACCUCUCCCUGCGUGUCUGUAGAGUAACCGGUUCUGGAAGAUACAGUCUCUCUCCGGGGCAGAGGGCAGAUUCGAUCGCUGUCCAGGGUAGUCACGAGACCUGCCCUCCAUGGCAGAGGUCGGCAGGUGUGCUUGUCAUGAAAGUUGGUCGUGAGUGAGCUCGGAUUCCUCGGCUGUGACACGAGCCCGCUGCACGUGCAGCACCCACCCAGGCCCCUCGCGUCUUCCCACGAGUGCCGCCUACUGGUUGUAACACAGUCUCUUGUCUCUGAUCCGGGACUCUCGUGUCUUCUCCAGCAUCCACGAAACUGUAGCAAACCAAACUGCCGGCUUGCAGACAAGGCAAAACCUCAGGCCUUCCAGGUUCUUGGCAACCGUAUGCUUAAUGUCAGCGGCCAUUGCUGGGAAGCGAGGCUCAGCCGUGACCUGCAGGGCUGGGCCCGUUCUUGGCCUCUGCCCUGGGGUUCGCAGAUCCCUCACCCAACACCUAUUAAAGCAACUCUUUCAA